ACUCGCCGUCCCUCAGCCCCGUGCCUGAACCGUCCACCCAAAGUGACUCGCCGUCCCUCAGCCCCGUGCCUGAGGUCACCUCUGGACAAACAGCUAGAAAAGCCAGAAGUAAACUCAAGAUCUUUAAGAUACGCAGCAGUGCAAAGAUUGCACCAACUAAUGAUGCUUCUGACAAGGGGCUGGAGUCAGAGGCAACCGUCACUCGUGCCCUAUCGGAUGAGGGUAUUGCUGCCGCACCUUCUGGUGACAGGAAGGAGCCGCGCAGACGGCCCUGGUACAAGAAGAUCUUCCUCAGGCUCAGCUGUUUUGGAGGCCCAGCUGAGAUCUGACCUGUCCAGCCCACCACCUAUACCCUUACACCCCAUCCUAACCCAAGCCUUCACCCCUACCCAACUCCCCAACUUGUUUACCAUAUCCACCCAUCCUACCACACACACACACACACACACACACACACACACACACACACACACACACACACACAUCACCUAUGCCAGCCACAUCACAAGGCUGCCCAUCACCAGGGGCGGCGCUACAGGGGUGGCUAGGGGGGCAUUUGACCCCCCUGAAAUCUGAUUGGCUACCCCAGGUGCUCCCCCAGAAAAUGGACAGGAGCCCCGCCCACUCGCGUUACACGAGGCACAUAGAUCGCCUGCAAAUCGCUAUCGCGAGUGAAGAAACAGAGCCAUACAGAGAACAGAGUUAUGCGAUUGGAGGACCAGGAAUUAAAUUGCAGCCCCGCCUUUCAGCGAGAUAAGGUUGUUCCUAAAGCGGCUGUCUUCCCAUAGACUCAACAUAGAACCACCACAUUAACAGCCAAAAAUAAGGACUAACGAACUAUACUGCGGGGUAAUCACCAUAAAUAUGUAAACUAUCAACUGUCUCGGUGGUGAUAAUCACAACAGUUUUACCACCUGUGAUGUUUAUCUGAAGUUAUUACUACGAACAGCAAGUCUUGUCAUAUUCCCUGCAUUGCAUCGCAUUGCAUUUGCUGUGUGCUACGCCCACUACUAGGAACCAACAUUCGCAACGCUGAGCAGUACUGAGAAGCUAAAACAGCUAAUUUUGCUAAUGAGGAAGUCGGCCCUAGCAGACAGCGGAGAUCGCCUGACUCUGUUCUCUGUAUGGCUCUGUGAAGAAAGGAUAACCAUUUUUCCCACACACAUUUCGAUGCAAGUCUGUGUACACACCACACUCGUAAAUUUACAGUAGGCAUAUGGGGUACCAUUCGAAAGCUUAGAAUCCCCUCUGUCUAGUGGUAUGCAUGGCAACUCUCUGUCUUGUACGUCCAGAAGAAGAAAAGCCUUAGAGAAAAAAAAACUGCUUAUUUCAGUCCAGAUUCAUUUCGUUUUCCUUUUGGAAAGUUAGCUGUCUGCCAUUUAAGAUUUUUCAGUACUAGGCCUAUAUAUUGCUCUAUUGCCCAUGUGAUAAAUAAAUAGAUUCGUUUUUGGUGGUAAAUGAAAGUAGCUUCAUGAUUAAUUCAUGUGAA
Engraulis encrasicolus (European anchovy) is the source of this 1489-nucleotide long non-coding RNA. RefSeq lists it as uncharacterized. The transcript is spliced from 3 exons. Lineage: Eukaryota; Metazoa; Chordata; Actinopteri; Clupeiformes; Engraulidae. The record is from RefSeq and is a predicted model, not a curated record.